RNAcentral lists this long non-coding RNA (1429 nucleotides) under Capra hircus (goat). RNAcentral's name for it is "lncRNA (ENSCHIG00010026054.1)". The record is from RNAcentral. Lineage: Eukaryota; Metazoa; Chordata; Mammalia; Artiodactyla; Bovidae.
CUUCAAAAGGAUUAUGGGUUACACUGCACAAAUUCUUGAGGGGCAUGGGACUCAUUUCAAAGACAAUUCUUACACCUACUUUCUUUAGAAGGCUAGAUUUUAAUGAGGAGGAGACAGAGGCUAGCAAGUAGCAGGAAAUUUGCUGUGGCAGGAAAUUUCCUUCUCAAUAUGAGGACACUUUUUAAGGCUGGCGUGUACAGUGACAUCCCAAAGGAGACAUUGAGUAAAGUGAAAAGAAAAAUGCUGGUGACGUAUUGACUAAGCUUCAUGUGCUGCAUGUCUUCAGCUGUGCUCUCACCCUUCACCAGCGUGCUUGGUGCCCUCACGGCUGAUGCUUGAGAACAGCCUGAAUGGGCUCUGCGGGGGGCUGGUUUCUGUGUGGUGCCAGUGGGAGCCUCAGCAGGAAAGGAAGGGGGAGAGUUGAGGCUUUUACACCUCUGGCUCUCUCCCUGAGGGCUUGUCCAGGGCAGACGGCAUCUCUUACGGGGUCUUGGCUCUAGUCAGAGAGUGCUCCUUCAGACCUGGGGUGGUGACAACUGUUAUUAGCCCAGAGGUACUGCUCUAUACCCUGCCCAUCCUUUAUUCAUUCCUCCUCCAAUUACCCAAUUUGAUCAUGCCAUUUUUUGUUGUUGUUGUUUCUGUUGUUAAGAUUCAGAUAUACCAACAAAGGAAGCUCUUAAUUAGGUUCUCUGUGUCUUGAAAAUUCUAGUGGACAUAUGCCACUCUUUUUGCACCUUCCUUAAAUCCCUCACCCCCAUCCUAACCCCCAACAUGUGAGCUAACUUUCUUGUCUGGGGAUUUCCCUACCUCAUGGCUCUUAGUGAGAGAUGGAGACCAACAACCACAUGGGAGACACAUGCUCAUUUUCCCAGCCUCCCUUGCAGCUAGGCUCAACCAAUCAGAUGGAGCUCGACUCCUGUCAGGCCUUAAGGCAAAGUGGACUUCAGAGAACCCAUUUUGGCUGAGGUGGUGGCAGUGCUGGGAGUUUCCAGAGGGAGCAGCUGAGCCUAGUGUCAGGCUCGGGGUCCCGGGGGUGCAUCUGAAGGAAUGCACACAUCGCGGUGGUGGCAAGUUGGUUCCCUGCAGAGAGUUUCUGUAUUGCUCCUGCUUCUCAUAUUCUGCUCCUGCAAUGCAGGAGAUCCCAGAAGGAAAGAGAAUUAAACUCAGUUUGAGUGGAGGGAUUUUAACGAAGGGACAACCUACAGAGGUGUUGGCAGGGUCUGGAGAAUCAGCAGAAGAUGCUGAGAACCCAGAGAGCGGCAAACCUCCUGUCCUCAGUCUGAAGAUACAGGGGGAGGGAAGAGUCUCACAGGAGGGGGAGCUGGAGCCCAGGAAGGCAGGAGGGGUGCUGGGCAAGAAGUACAGUCUUGGAAGGGGGACGCACCACCCGAGAUUUUACAGAGUCAUUGCUUCAUACCACCUAGACUGA